Molecule: ribosomal RNA, 549 nt
Filed under: uncultured Actinomycetes bacterium
Lineage: Bacteria; Bacillati; Actinomycetota; Actinomycetes
Description: bacterial SSU rRNA
Rfam family: Bacterial small subunit ribosomal RNA
Source: RNAcentral
CCAGCUUGCUGGGUUGGAUGAGUGGCGAACGGGUGAGUAACACGUGAGUAACCUGCCCCCUUCUUUGGGAUAACGGUCGGAGACGGCUGCUAAUACCGGGUAUUCACUGUCCUUCGCAUGGGGGGUGGUGGAAAGGUUUUUUCUGGUGGGGGAUGGGCUCGCGGCCUAUCAGCUUGUUGGUGGGGUGAUGGCUUACCAAGGCUUUGACGGGUAACCGGCCUGAGAGGGUGACCGGUCACAUUGGGACUGAGAUACGGCCCAGACUCCUACGGGAGGCAGCAGUGGGGAAUAUUGCACAAUGGGCGAAAGCCUGAUGCAGCGACGCCGCGUGAGGGAUGACGGCCUUCGGGUUGUAGACCUCUUUCGCUCAUGGUCAAGCCGCAACAGUGGUUGUGGUGAGGGUAGUGGGUAAAGAAGCACCGGCUAACUACGUGCCAGCAGCCACGGUAAUACGUAGGGUGCGAGCGUUGUCCGGAAUUAUUGGGCGUAAAGGGCUUGUAGGCGGUUUGUCGCGUCUGCCGUGAAUCCUCUGGCUUAACUGGGGGCGUG